GUCUAUCAGACAAUUUUUUGCUAAAUUUAUUAUUUAUACGUCAUUACACGGCUCUAUUAAAUGCUAUUAAAUUAUCCUCACCUUAUCCAUUGGGAGUGUCAUUGUUAAGGCAGUAGUACAAGUAAAUAACCAAUAGGUGUCAGUAAUCCGCGGGAGAGCUUCGCUGCAUAUUUCUCUUCAAGAUUGAGAAUCGCAACGAAAUCCUCGUCGAGCAACACGUCCACUGAGCAACCAUGUCUGUGUCCUUAAAGGAACUCUGUCAGGUACAGAUUAGAACUAUGAACUUGAAAAUCAACCAUUCUGAUGACUGGCGUCCCCAUCCGAGUCACCACCUCAGACAACAACAGUCAUAAACUCACAAACACAAAUACACUCAGUAAUGGGCUUAAUAAAGAAAGACUUAACUAUGAUUUUAUCUGUGUUAACCUAUGAUAUCAGUUAUUGAUGUAUUUUAAAUAUUUACGUAUUACUAGGCUUAUCAUACAUGCAUUGAAGUUUUAAAAUGUAUCUAAUAUAAUACUUUAAUUAAAUUGAAUGUUUUGGAUACCACCAUUAAAUUAUUUUGUGCAUGUAAAACACAAGCAGCAAUGUUUUUAUUGAAUUCAAU
Molecule: non-coding RNA, 607 nt
Organism: Misgurnus anguillicaudatus (oriental weatherfish)
Lineage: Eukaryota; Metazoa; Chordata; Actinopteri; Cypriniformes; Cobitidae
Source: RefSeq, a predicted model, not a curated record